This 132-nucleotide small nuclear RNA is filed under the name Nippostrongylus brasiliensis. Its description in RNAcentral is "U1 spliceosomal RNA". It matches the Rfam family "U1 spliceosomal RNA", at positions 1 to 134 of the family's 166-position model. From Rfam's summary of the family: U1 is a small nuclear RNA (snRNA) component of the spliceosome (involved in pre-mRNA splicing). The record is from Rfam by way of RNAcentral. Lineage: Eukaryota; Metazoa; Nematoda; Chromadorea; Rhabditida; Heligmosomidae.
UAACUAACCUGGCUGGGGGCUCUCGCGACUACGAAGGCGGGAGCCCCAUGCUGAGGCCCACACACUGCACUUAGUGAGGGCUGACCCGUGUGGCAGCUUCGUGUUGAAGUUAGCCAACAGCUGGAUUUUUAC